This 623-nucleotide long non-coding RNA is filed under the name Homo sapiens (human). RNAcentral's name for it is "HSALNT0379009". Lineage: Eukaryota; Metazoa; Chordata; Mammalia; Primates; Hominidae. The record is from RNAcentral.
UCAUCACUUGCCAUUGUCUACCACCACACCUUGGCUCAUGUUCCACAGCACUCACCUCUCUUAAGGAAUUCACGUAAGUGCUGAGAAGUAAUGGAACCUGGACUCUCCACUUUUGAGGCAGGGCUGACAGCUGAGCGUGGACGUGGAUGGUGGGGAAAACACAGCUAUGACAGCCUUCCCCACAGUUUAAGGUAUCAACAAAUUUAAUUCUCACUCCACAGGAAGACUCCAGAAGACUAAAAAAAUCUCACUUUGACAGCUUUCAGAUGCCUCCAGUCCCUGCUUCACCCUAUUCAGAUGCACAGAGAUCUUGUGUUGCCCCUGAAGAUACUCUCACUCAGCCUUCCCUCUGUCUGCAGAGAUGGCUUUGACAGCCCCACACCUACAAUCUCCAGCUUCUCUUCUGAGCUGUGCUCAGGGUUCUGCUGCUCUUGGGACCCAGCCUGGUAGCAUGACCCCCACUUCCCCAGCUCCCGCAGUCCUCCCAGCCUGUGAGUCACCAUCGAUUCUUCCAGAGAGGAGUCACUCUCAUCAAAUUUGAAACCUCGUGACACUCUAUACCCAGCAUCUGGCUCACCAAUCAUUUCCGGCUAGUGGGAAAGGUCCUGAUGGUUCAAGGUUGA